UGGGGAAUAUUGCACAAUGGGCGCAAGCCUGAUGCAGCCAUGCCGCGUGUAUGAAGAAGGCCUUCGGGUUGUAAAGUACUUUCAGCGGGGAGGAAGGGAGUAAAGUUAAUACCUUUACUCAUUGACGUUACCCGCAGAAGAAGCACCGGCUAACUCCGUGCCAGCAGCCGCGGUAAUACGGAGGGUGCAAGCGUUAAUCGGAAUUACUGGGCGUAAAGCGCACGCAGGCGGUUUGUUAAGUCAGAUGUGAAAUCCCCGGGCUCAACCUGGGAACUGCAUCUGAUACUGGCAAGCUUGAGUCUCGUAGAGGGGGGUAGAAUUCCAGGUGUAGCGGUGAAAUGCGUAGAGAGCUGGAGGAAUACCGGUGGCGAAGGCGGCCCCCUGGACGAAGACUGACGCUCAGGUGCGAAAGCGUGGGGAGCAAACAGG
RNAcentral lists this ribosomal RNA (429 nucleotides) under Chloroflexota bacterium. RNAcentral's name for it is "Chloroflexi bacterium partial 16S ribosomal RNA". It matches the Rfam family "Bacterial small subunit ribosomal RNA", at positions 355 to 776 of the family's 1533-position model. The record is from RNAcentral. Lineage: Bacteria; Bacillati; Chloroflexota.